Molecule: RNase P RNA, 297 nt
Filed under: Leptobacterium flavescens
Lineage: Bacteria; Pseudomonadati; Bacteroidota; Flavobacteriia; Flavobacteriales; Flavobacteriaceae
Description: Bacterial RNase P class A
Rfam family: Bacterial RNase P class A
About the family: Ribonuclease P (RNase P) is a ubiquitous endoribonuclease, found in archaea, bacteria and eukarya as well as chloroplasts and mitochondria. Its best characterised activity is the generation of mature 5'-ends of tRNAs by cleaving the 5'-leader elements of precursor-tRNAs.
Source: Rfam by way of RNAcentral
CCGGCAGGCUAUCUUAUCGCUCCUGUUUAUUUCGGGGGAGGAAAGUCCGGACACCAAAGAGCAGUAUAGCGGGUAACGCCCGUCCGUUGAAAGACGAGGACAAGUGCAGCAGAAAGAAUGUACAGGUAAGGCUGUAGUGAAAUCAGGUAAACUCUAUACGGUGCAACGCCAUGUAUACCAGUGUUUGAGGGUUGCUCGCCCGAUGCUGGAGGGUAGGCGGUUAGAAUUGUCGGGUAACCGGCAAUCCAGAUAAAUGAUAAGACCAGACAGAAUCCGGCUUAUCGGCCUGCUUUUUUU